AAAUCCUUAAUAUAUCCCUCAAUAUACACCCUACCUUAAUUCGCCUGAAAGCCAUGUCACCGCUCCUCCUCCCCGUGCUCGGACGCCAAUUAUGCCUUCCAAAUUGAGUAGUCUCGAUGAUACCAAAAACAGGAAGGAUGCAGGUUUAUUUGUUUUAAUUCCAUUUUAUAUCUCUUUCAAUUUUUGUUUGAUACAUUGGUUUCUUCAUUUUCGUUUUUUUGGUUGAGAGAUGACUCAAACCAGAUCUACUGUGCUUAGAUGUGUUGAACAAUUAGUAUUAGAACAUUUUUUCUGCGGGUUAAUCUGAAUUUUUAUUUUGCCUGAUUCUUAUUUUGUUUAUUUUGUUAUAACUCUC
RNAcentral lists this long non-coding RNA (355 nucleotides) under Erythranthe guttata (spotted monkey flower). RNAcentral describes it as "long non-coding RNA (EGUT_LNC003240)". The record is from RNAcentral. Lineage: Eukaryota; Viridiplantae; Streptophyta; Magnoliopsida; Lamiales; Phrymaceae.